GAUGAACGCUGGCGGCGUGCCUAAUACAUGCAAGUCGAGCGAAAAGACGAGGAGCUUGCUCCUCUGACGUUAGCGGCGGACGGGUGAGUAACACGUGGAUAACCUACCUAUAAGACUGGGAUAACUUCGGGAAACCGGAGAUAAUACCGGAUAAUAUAUUGAACCGCAUGGGUCAAUAGUGAAAGACGGUUUUGCUGUCACUUAUAGAUGGAUCCGCGCCGCAUUAGCUAGUUGGUAAGCUAACGGCUUACCAAGGCAACGAUGCGUAGCCGACCUGAGAGGCUGAUCGCCCACCUUAGAACUUGGACACCCUCCAUGCUCCUACGGUACGCACCAGUCUCCUAUCUUCCGCAAUAGUCGAAAGUCUUACGGAGCAACCCCGCGUGUGUUAUGACAGCCUUCCGUUCGUAAUACUCUCCUAUUAGUUAUAAACAACUUUGUACUUUACUAUGCACUUCUUGACGGUACCUAAUCAGAAAGCCACGGCUAACUACGUG
RNAcentral lists this ribosomal RNA (497 nucleotides) under uncultured bacterium. RNAcentral describes it as "partial 16S ribosomal RNA". It matches the Rfam family "Bacterial small subunit ribosomal RNA", at positions 28 to 507 of the family's 1533-position model. The record is from RNAcentral.